Molecule: ribosomal RNA, 621 nt
Filed under: Phlebia sp. 7-SU-3-D-29(M)-B
Lineage: Eukaryota; Fungi; Basidiomycota; Agaricomycetes; Polyporales; Meruliaceae
Description: eukaryotic LSU rRNA
Rfam family: 5.8S ribosomal RNA (bases 252-405)
Source: RNAcentral
UGAGGAAGUAAAAGUCGUAACAAGGUUUCCGUAGGUGAACCUGCGGAAGGAUCAUUAACGAGUUUUGAAAUGGGUUGUAGCUGGCCUUACACGGGCAUGUGCACACCCUGCUCAUCCACUCUCAUACCCCUGUGCACUUAUUGUAGGCUUGGUCGGAUAAGUUAGCCUUGGUUAACUUUGAAAGCCUUGUCUAUGCUUAUUACAAACGCUUCAGUUAAAGAAUGUAAUACUGCGUCUAACGCAUUAAAUACAACUUUCAGCAACGGAUCUCUUGGCUCUCGCAUCGAUGAAGAACGCAGCGAAAUGCGAUAAGUAAUGUGAAUUGCAGAAUUCAGUGAAUCAUCGAAUCUUUGAACGCACCUUGCGCUCCUUGGUAUUCCGAGGAGCAUGCCUGUUUGAGUGUCAUGGUAUUCUCAACCUUCAAAGCUUUUGCAAUGGAGGCUUGGAUUUGGAGGCUGUGUUGGCGCAAGUCAACUCCUCUUAAAUGCAUUAGUGUGAACCUUACGGAUCGCCUUCAGUGUGAUAAUUGUCUACGCUGUGGUGUUGAAGUAUAUUCGAGUUCAUGCUUCUAAUCGUCCGCAUGGACAACUUUACUUGACAAUCUGACCUCAAAUCAGGUAG